RNAcentral lists this long non-coding RNA (14171 nucleotides) under Malus domestica (apple). RNAcentral's name for it is "long non-coding RNA (MDOM_LNC002461)". The record is from RNAcentral. Lineage: Eukaryota; Viridiplantae; Streptophyta; Magnoliopsida; Rosales; Rosaceae.
CAGAUGAGAUCUCUUCAGCAGUCAAGCCAUCUUGUAUUGGAAAGAAGGUGAAAUCCGGGUGGUUUGAAGGGUUGGGGGAGUUGAACUGGGUGUGAAUAACAGUGAUAGAAAAGCCCUUUGAGUGAAGGAAGGAACCCAGCUGAAGCAUUGGAUUUAUGUGACCUUGGUAUGGACAUGGGAAUAAGACCAACCUGUUACUCUGUGUUUUCUUUUCCAUCUCCAUCCUUCCUUCUUUCUUUUUUCUCUUAGAGAGACAUAGACACACACCCCCAAAAGGUUACAGUGAUUGGAUUUCUAAAUUUUUGACUGCAUCAUUGAAACCCUUGGAGUUUUUAUAAAGGUGAGUUAUUAAAAACAUCCUUUUUUACCUUCUGCAUAAGCCUCUAAAUUCAAGCUCUUGAUUACUCUUUGAUUUGUUCAGGACAAUGACUGAAUAUAAAAUACACACACACACACACAUCCCGAUUUGCCAUCCCAGUAUCACAAGCUAAUAACACGAUGUCAUAAAUUUUAACUUCUUCACAUUACAUUAUAUUAUUGGCACAGAAUAUCACAAGGGCAUAUACGAGCAUCUAUAGGCGAUAGCUAUUCAGCUACCAGUAGCUUUGGCUACAUCUUCCUGGAUUAAAGCGGUAAGCGGUAACGGCUGAUUCUCUCAUCUCUUCCAGAAGGGAUUGAUGACAAUUGCAGAUAAAAUAUCUUUGGUCUAAAAUAAUUUUAUUGUCAUUGUUAUAUUGUUAGACAAGGGAAAAACAACAAGCUAUGUCUUCAUCUCUUAGGGAUCACGAUAAGUUGAUUGUCCUUGUUGAAUUAGUAUUCCUCCAAUACCUAAAGUUUAAUACCUUUAACUUAAUUAAUUGUUGAACAGUUGUUUUAACCUUAAUUUUUUUUUCCAGGAAAAAUGUGGCUUUUGAAUUGAAGAAAUGCUGCCUCCUUACACAGUGACAUCUGAAAAUUUUCAUUAUUUUGUCUCCCUAACAUUACUAUUUGUCAAAAGGGAAGCGUAGAAAAUUAGAAAUCAAUCUCCUUUCAUAAAUUCAAGCCCCAAUGAAUGGUACACACCUUCCUUCCCUAAAAUUCCACACAUUUCCUGCCAAUCCUUUGUUCAAGAUGAUUGACCAAUCAGAUUUUUCGUAAUAAAGAUCAUAUAAAUGAGCUGAUAAUGAAAAAAUUUGACGAAGUCAUCGUUUUUAUAUUUCACUUUCAUUGUGAAUUGGCAACACUGACCUAAAAAAAUCUGAGUUUUGCACGAAUCAUAAUCAAACGUAAGAAAAUUGUGAAUAAAUUUAAUACAAGUAGGCCUGACAAUUUCUAACACGAUUUGAUAACCCGACACGACACGACACGAAAUUAACAGGUGUUCAGGUCGAUACGAUAACUAAUCGGAAUGUUAUUGGGUAACCCGAUAAGCACCUGUUAAGAUAACGGGUUGGUUCGGGUAUAUAUGUGGGUAACACGAUACACGAUAAUCAAAAUAUUAAUUUUAUAAUUUUAUAACCCUAAAAAAACCUAUAAUAAUUAUAUAUAUUAAAUUAAAUGUUAAAAAUUGGUGAUCAUUGGAUCGGCUUAAAUAUAUAUAUCAUUCAAUUUCUUAAGUGUUAUACGUACAAAAUAAAUAAAUUUAAAUCUACUUAAUAUAUAUAUAUACACACACACACACACCAUUGAACUUGAUGGGAUACAAAUUUUACGAAAUUAAUUUUAACGAUUCAACCAUCAAACUUGUUUGUAUAUGCUUUGAGAUUGCAUUAGCAAAAAUUGAAAAAAACAAACAUUCAGAGAUCAAGUAAUGGGACAAAACUUUUCGACGGUUAUCAACGAAAAAUCACAAUUUAACUGUUAUUUUAACUUCGAUUUUGAUGAUUUUUUACAGCUACACUCCUUGACCCUGAAUACAAUGAAUGAACUCGAUCUUCAAUUUAAAAUAUUUACACUAGUAGAUACCACAAAAUCUUAUGUUAUACUUAAUGAAAGUAUGCAUAAACUCUUAAAUGUUAGUGAAUAUAUUGUUUUAUGGGAUAUGCAUUCUACGAAAUUAGUUUCAACUAUCCAACCGUUAAACAUGUUUGUAACUUUGAGAUCGCAUACGCCAAAAAUUGCAAAAAACAAACAUUUAAAGAUCAAGUAACGGGACAAAACUUUUCGACGGAUAUAAACAAAAAAUCAUGAUUUAAUGGUUAUUUUAACUCCGAUUAUGAUGAUUUUUUUACAGCUACACUCCUUGGCCUUAUAUGAAUACAAUGAAUGAAUUCGAUCUUCAAUUUAAAAUAUUUACACUAGUGGAUACCACAAAAUCUUAUGUUAUAUUGAAUGAAAGUAUGAAUACACUCGUUAAAUGUUAGUGAAUAUAUCGUUUUGAUGGGAUAUGCAUUCUACGAAACUAAUUUCAACGAUCCAACCGUCAAACUUGUUUGUAUAUGCUUCAAGAUCGCAUACGCCAAAAAUUGCAAAAAACAAACAUUCAAAGAUCAAGUAACUGGACAAAACUUUUCAACGGUUAUCAACGAAAAAUCAUGAUUUAACGGUUAUUUUAACUUGAUUUUGAUGAUUUUUUAUAGCUACACUCCUUGACCCUAUAUGAAUACAAUGAAUGAACUCGAUCUUCAAUUUAAAAUAUUUACAUUAGUGGAUAUCACAAAAUCUUAUGUUAUACUUAAUGAAAGUAUGAAUAAACUCUUAAGUGUUAGUGAAUCUAUUGUUUUGAUGGGAUAUGCAUUCUACGAAACUAGUUUGAACGAUUCAACCUUCAAACAUGUUUGUAUAUACUUCAAGAUCACGUACGCCAAAAAUUGUAAAAAACAAACAUUCAAAGAUCAAGUAAUGAGACAAAACUUUUUGACAGUUAUCAACGAAAAAUCACGAUUUAACGGUUAUUUUAACUCUGAUUUUGAUGAUUUUUUACAACUACACUUCUUGACCCUAUAUGGAUACAAUGAAUGAACUCGAUCUUCAAUUUAAAAUAUGUACACUAGUGGAUACCCAAAAAUCUUAUGUUAUACUUAAUGAAAGUAUGAAUAAACUAUUAAGUGUUAGUGAAUCUAUCGUUUUGAUGGGAUACGCAUUUUACAAAACUAAUUUCAACGAUCCAACCGUCAAACUUGUUUGUAUAUGCUUCGAGAUUGCAUACGCCAAAACUCGCAAAAAAACAAACAUUCAGAGAUCAAGUAACAGGACAAAACUUUUUGACGGUUAUCAAAGAAAAAUUAGGAUUUAACGGUUAUUUUAACUCCGAUUUUGAUGAUUUUUUACAGUUACACACACUCCUUGACCCUAUAAGAAUACAAUGAAUGAACUCGAUCUACAAUUUAAAAUAUUUACAGUAGUGGAUACCACAAAAUCUUAUGUUAUACUUAAUGAAAGUAUGAAUAAACUCUUAAGUGUUAGUGAAUCUAUUGUUUUGAUGGGAUAUGCAUUCUACGAAACUAGUUUCAACGAUUAAACCGUCAAACAUGUUGGUAUAUACUUCAAGAUUGCAUACGCAAAAAAUUACAAAAAACAAACAUUCAGAGAUCAAGUAACGGGACAAAACUUUUCAACGGUUAUCAAUGAAAAAUCACAAUUUAACGGUUAUUUUAACUCCGAUUUUGGAUGAUUUUUUUACAGCUACACUCCUUGACCCUAUAUGAAUACAAUGAAUGAAUUCGAUCUUCAAUUUAAAAUAUUAUACUAGUGGAUACCACAAAAUCUUAUGUUAUACUUAAUGAAAGUAUGAAUAAACUCUUAAGUGUUAGUGAAUCUAUCAUUUUGAUGGGAUACACAUUCUAUGAAACUAAUUUCAAUGAUCCAAUUGUCAAACUUGUUUGUAUAUGCUUCAAGAUCGCAUAUGCCAAAAAUCGCAAAAAACAAACAUUCAGAGAUCAAGUAACGGGACAAAACUUUUCCACGGUUAUUAACGAAAAAUCACGAUUUAACCAGUGUUCUAAAAAUCGGCCUAGGCGGCGCCUAGGCGUUGGGCGGCGGAGCCCCGACUAUAUUUCGGCCAAAACGUUCACUUAAGGUGGGGAGGAUUUAGGCGGUCGCCUAGGCGCUCAUUAGGCAUUCUAGGCUGUGUUAGGCGGCAGUCAAGGCGGCUGCAAAUCCCAAACUCACUGCAACUCUCGCAGCAAAUCUGCGUCGUACGUAGAAGCAGAGCCUCAGCGAGCUUCUGAAGCUUGUCGUCUAUGAGCAGAUGAGGGCUCGCCGUCUAUGAGCAGAUGAAGGAAGAUAUAGUACGAAUAGAGAGAGAGAGCCUCAGCAGCGUGAGUUGCAGUCUUGCAGAUUUAGUUUUUAGCAUCUGAAAGGGCUAAUGAAGAAGAAGAAGUGAAAAGGUUUAAUGGGAAUGAUACUUUCACUUUUCGAUGGGUCAAAAUAUGGUUUUGAUUUGAGCUCCACCUUGGGGAAUGUAAGAGAGGUGGUGGAACCCGGUUUUUAAUUUUGAAACCAAGCAUUGGCACACUGCAUGGUUUUGUUAUUGGGGAAUGUUAGAGAGGUGGAGUGGAACCCGGUUUCUAAUUUUGAAACCACCCACUGACACAAUGCAUGGGCUUGUUAUCUUUUGAAAAGUUGGAGAUAUAAAUAAAUAUAUAUAUCUAUAUAUAUAUAUAUUAUAAAUGUUAUAUGAAUUAUUUAGAUAAUGAUUUUUUCUUAGACUAUCAUAUUAUAUACAUAAAAUAAGUAAUUAUAUAGUCAUAUAAUAUAUAAUAAAUCUAAAUCUGUCUAGGCGUUAGGCCUCAGCUCGUCACCUGACUAGUGCCUAACGUUUUUUAGAAUCAUCUUUUUGCAUUUUAUCAUUUUUUUAUAUUAUCUUAUCCUUGGAUUUCAUACAAGUAUAAUUUUUUGUAAGUGUCAAUAUGCACUUAUUUACAAGAUAUAUAAGAAAUUUACCUAAAUCCGCCUAGGCGCUAGGCGCUAGCCCGCCGCUCGACUAGCGCCUAGCGUUUUUUAAAACCUUGGAUUUAACGGUUAUUUUAACUCUGAUUUGAAUGAUUUUUUACAGCUAUACUCUUUGACCCUAUAUGAAUACAAUGAAUGAAUUUGAUCUUCAAUUUAAAAUAUUUACACUAGUGGAUACCACAAAAUCUUAUGUCAUGAUGAUUGAUGAAAAUUGAAGAUUUUGUAAAAGGAAUAACAUGCAAGCUUUGAGUUCCAUUGGCAAGGUUUAAACUUUUGAGAAAUGCUUCAUAACCUUGAAAACAAAAACUCUUUCAUUUUGCAUAUCCUUACCCAUUUAAUAUUUUGUAAUAAACUAGUAGUGUAUGGAUGUUUGUUUAUUAUGCUCUUAUUUUCGAGUGUAGAUGUACUACUUAAACGACAAAUGUGUUUUAAUGUUUUGAAGUAAUAUUUAUGUGGCAAUGUGUGGUAUGUGCAAAUUUGAGAAAAAAAAAAUAUUUUUCUUAACGGAUCAUAACGGGUCGGGUCUGUUAAGAUAACGAGUGUGACAUGACACGACUUGUUAAGAUAACAAGUGUUACACGAAAACGACACAAACACGACAAACAUGACCCAUUUGCCAGGCCUAAAUACAAGAACAAGAGUCCUGAUCUUCUAAGGUUUGAUUUUGAGGACUUGUGAGGACCAAAUGCAUAUUAGCUACAAAUUGUAUUAGUUUAGAUCCAAAAGUUUAAAUUUUUUGACAAGUUAAUAAAGCAAAACAAGAAAAUGAGUUUUCUAAUAGUUCAUGAAUUUUAAGUUGGUUUUGAUUAUUAAGUUGUCAAAUAUUUUAAGCCUUUGGAUCUAAAUAAUCUAGUGGCUAAUAUGCAUUGAGUCGUCAGAUCCUCAUUUUGAGAACCCUACAAGAGCAGGACUAUAAGAACAAUUCAUGCUCCAAAUGGUCAAUCAUCUUGGUCAAAUGGAAUUCGUGCAAAAUCAUCUUGAGCUGAAGAAAUUGCAUGUAGGGCAUCGCUGAAAGAUCGGGUUUCUUUCUGUCGGUAUCCAUAUUCAACGUCUCCACCAUAACUUUACGCAAAUGUAGGUGUUUAUAAGUUAAUGUUCUUGUGAAAUUGGUAAUAGUAUAUAUGAGAAUGAAGCCCAAAGGGAAUGGUUGGGGUGGCAGCUUUCAAGUGCUGCAAUACCAGCCAGUGCAGCCACCCAACUCCUUUAAUGAAGGUUUUUAGUUAUAAUAAGAACAUUGGAAUUGCAUGUUAGCGUCGAGAAAUAAUGUACUUGAAUGGCUGGCCACUUUCUCGAAUCUAGCUAGUGGAUGACCAUAGGCUGCAUUUUGCAGUUAGUAUUUGGCAAUGAUAUAUCGGUUUGUAUCGGAAAGUUAUAGGGUGUUACAGUUGAACUGAAUUAGAUCCUUUUUCAACUUCUAACUUCUCAUUAUUGUCAAUUUCUGGAAUCCAAACUUGUAUAGCUUCAAAAUUUGGAAUUCAAACUUGUGUAGUUUCAAAUGUAAGGGGGUACCUUCGUUAGACAAGCGACGACAUUGUUCAAGAAUCAAUCAGAAAUGUUGUGGUUAUAGGUCUCUUCUGGUUUCCCUUAAGCACUAGUCUAAUUGCUUUGAUACCAUUCCGAAGGAGGAGGUUGGACUUUAUUCUAUCGGAGUUCCACUUCCGGGCAAACCUUGUUUUAUGUCGGAGUAUGAAAAGUUGUGUCUUAUUGUGUGAUUAAAUGUAUGACAUAGAUGUGUCUGUAUUUUCUACUAUUUAUUUUUCGUUUGUUAAAAAAAUUCACUCAUACCAUCGAGUUUGUUUAGAAUCUAGUAAAUUUAGUUCUUUUGUAUGAUUAUAAUAUGUUUUUAACUUUAGAUCAAGCCCACCUUAUUUUCAAAUCCCGGUCCAUCGCGGGCUGUGUUCGUCUACUUUAUAGCAUACAAAAUAUCAUGAAUGAUGAAGCUUACGAUAACUGAUUUUGCUAAUUUAGUAUGAAAUUGGAUGCUACUCUGUUUAUAGUAUGAACGAUGAAAUUUACAAAUGUGGGUUACACUAGUUGAUUAUGCUAGUGUGUUUGUUCCUUUGCAGCCAAGUUAUUCUCAUCCUUGUAAAUUAGACUAGUGUAAUAUCUCUCAGUCAAAACAAAAUAUGUUGAUCCUUACAUAUGGUUGGCAUAUCAAUGGGACUGCUUGAAAGAUACUCUCAACGAUUCAAUUCCAACCACAAUGGCUCCAAAACUGUCCAACUCCUGUGUGUCGGGACUUGCUUUCGGGGUGCUCAUUUCACUAUGUGCCCCCUUUGACCAACCCUUUAUUGGAAACCUUCGGGCAAUGAUACGCAGUCCGUCCGAACCUUUUAUUGGAAACCUUCGGGCAAUAAUACGGAGUCUGUCCGAACCACUCACAAGAAAGGCUUCUCAUUGGUGGCCAGACCCCAUGCCAUUAUAUAAAUCUUCAUUAUCCAUGAAAGCUAUGCUUCCUAGGCUUACAUAGCCGAUAGAGAGUUUUGUGCUUGUUUAUCGAGCCAUGACAUACAGCUCUGGCCAUCUUUCAACAAGAUUAUAAACAUGGAUGGAACAGUUUCUUGUAGAGGACUGAUAGGAAACUGUAACGACCCAUCCCCAAAUAUUACGAAUUUUAUAAUUUUAAAAUGUGAAAUUACGAAAAUGCCCUUCGAGGCAAAUACGUUGACUUUUGUUGACUGUCUUGUCAUGUCACAUAAGAUCCAUUCCCUUGGUGUAUCCUCAUAGUACUCGUUGCUAAAAACUCGUGGGCGCAAACGGAAUGUAAUUUGGAGUUACAAUGAAAGAGUUAUUAACGAACGAAGUUGAGGGCAAAAUGGUCAUUUAACCAUAAAUCUGGAAGGCUCCAGAUUUUGUUGGAGCAUCAAUUUAGUGCCAUGUGUGUGGUUGUGAUCAAGGAAGAAAAUAUCGGUGAUAUCGGAAAUAUCGGUAGUCCGAAAACACGGAAAUAUCGAUGGAAAUAUCGGUAAAAUAUCGAUAUCGAUAAAAAUUACAUGGAAACCACGGAAAUUGUAAGAAAAACUUGGAAAUUUUUAUUGAAACUUUGUAGGAUGUUUAUUUAGUCAAUUAUCUAUUAGUUUAUCACAAAAAAUUGGAAGGAAAUGCAUUGCAUGAUGGAUUUAACAUUAUCAAGUUGAUUAUAUAGCGAUCUGACAAACAUUAUGAGUGUAGAAAAUAUGUAGUAAUUAAUGAAAGAAGUCUAAACACACCAUAAUCAUUUAUAUAUAAUGAAUUAGUACAAUAUUUUACACUUUAGAACCACAAUAUUGUAAAAGCUGCAUGAAAUUGUCUAAAUAAUUGUAAAACUAUUGAGUGAGUUUAUCCUCCUGACAGGAGGAACCCACACACAUCAUCACUGUCAAAAACACAUCGCACGCACACACAACGCACGCACGCAGACCACACCUCAGUCUCUCUCUCUCUCGAUCCUUCUCGUUCUCUCUUCUCCCUUCUCUUCUUCCAAACACACACACACACACAGAGCUCCUCAGUCUCUCCCUCUCUCGAUCAUCCUUCUCCAUCUCUCUUCUCCCUUCUCUUCUCCCACACACACACUCACACAGAGAGCUCCACAGGUUGACAUCGGAUCCAAGUCCAACACACGCACACACAGAGAUCGGACUCACAGAGAUCUCCGAUCUCUCUUCUGCCAAACACACACACAUGCACACAGAGAUCUCUCGAUCUCUCAUCUCCAUUCUCCGAUCUCUCUUCUCCCUUCUCCGAUCUCUCUUCUCCCAAACACCCACAUACAAAGAGAGAUCUCCGAUCUCUCUUCUCCCAAACACACACACACACAGAGAUCGCCGUUGAUCGUGGCUCAGGCGAAGUCAGAGGUGCGCCGCGGAGCAAGGAUCGUUCGUAUUCCGCUUCGUCAGGUGAGAUUCCAUGAAACCCUAAACCCUAAUCUCUCCGACUUCACCCUGCCUUGAAUCGUUUGUAUAUUUGUGAAAUCUGAUGUAUAUUUGUGAAAUUAAUGUUAAGAUUCGUGUUUUUGCAAGGUUUUUGGGACGAAACCGGCCCGGGAAUCGCCCCACCGUCUCCGGCGUUCUUCUCCGACGUCGCCUCGGAUUCCGAUUCCACCGUCCAUGGAUAUUUCGCCGAUAAUUUCCAAAUAUCGCGAUAUUUGGCCGAAAACCCCACGGAAACCAGUUAAAAUAUCGCCGACCGGAAAAAUCGAUAUUAUCGGCGAUAUUUCGCCGAUAAUAUCGAUAUUUAAAUCUGUGGUUGUGAUGGAAAGAAGAGGAGAGAAAUGAGAGGGGUGUUGCCCAAUCGGGAAUGAGGGAAUCUGGACCCGAAGGCCUCCAUGGUUUCCGACGCCUUUCACGGCGGAUUUUCGGCUAGUUGAAGCCACUCACCACCUGAGAAGCGUCAAAUCGAGAAAACCUAUUUCAAGGAUUUUCGACGGAUCAAUGGUGACUUGAGCUAUUUCCCGACUGAAUUGAACUUUGACCCAUGUAUGAAAGUUGUUCCUCUCAUUGAGAUCUUCAUUCCUGCAAAAUUUGGGAAUUUUUGGAGUUGUUGAAUUUUUCGGCAAGUCGUGGCUGCCAGUCGGCGGCGACGGUGGCGCGUGGCCUUCUGGGCCGCCGCUUCAUGGAGGUUUGCACGACGGCGCGUGGGGGGAAACCCGAGAUCCCUUCUUAGGUUUUUCAAUGUGCCGAAUCCGAAUUCGCUGUCCGUUUUCCCAAAUUCUAUCGUUUAUGUAUAGUUUUACUAAAUGGUUCCUAAUUGUGUUUAGAUGUGCGUUAAUAGGAAGCGACACCAUUCUCGCUAGUUCAAGCUGCUCUCGGGCAAUGGAAAACUUAUGAGUGGACCCCUUCUUAACUUGCAUGUUUUUAUAAAAUAUUAGGCUUGUAUUCACGAAAGACAUGAUUUCAUGAUUUUACGCUUUAUGCAUUAAUUAUGAUUUAUUCAAAUUGCUUUUAUGAAAUAUUUAUGAUUUAUCGAAAUUAUGUUUUACUAAAGGCUAUGAAUUAUUAGAUUCUCGUUUAUGAAGUUCUAGGGAUUUACGAAUAUGAUUUAUUUUACGGAUUUAUGAGUAUGUACUAUCUUGGAUUGAUGAAAUGAGACUUUGAGGUUUUGAGUUUUGGAUUUGGAUAUGAGUUUUUGAGAUAUGUUUUUGGUGCUUAUCUAGUGGGUUAUCAUACAACACAUCCACACAACACGGGUAUGUAGAUGUCUAUGGCCAUAGGGCACAAUUGAUGAUAUCUAUGUAUAUAUUUCUUCUCCUGUGUAACCCAGAGUCGUACAACUUCACCUUUGGAUGAUGGGGCCUACCAUGUUUCUUCAGUAGCGUAACCCAGUGUCGUACAACUUCAUCUUUGGGUGAUGGACAUGUAUUGCCUUCGGCCGAAUGAAGAGUUAAUGAUAUUGAUGACAUACCCCUAACUUCACUGAUGAAACUAUUGUCGAAUAGCUUCACUAGACACGGCUAGUGUCGGUGUGUGAUGUUAUAUAUAUUCUCUUCUCUGGCGUAACCCGGAGUCGUACAGCUUCACCUUCGAAUAUGUGACUAGGGCUCAACAUGAAUAAUGAUUAAGGAAGCAUGGCGAGAUGAAUAGGCAUGAGCAUCGUGUCUUAAUCACCAUGGCAUGACAUGUUUUUAAAUAUAUUCCUCGUUGAUCCCGUGCCUUGGCAUGUAUUUGGGCUUGAAUGUAGGCUUUGCAUGACAAUUGGUCUUUGAGACUUGGUUGGAUUGAUGUGUGACAUUUUUGGACCCCAACACUAUGUUAAGUUGCUACGAAAAAUUUCCCAAUUUCUCAGCUUUUAGUUAUGUUAGUUUAUAAUUGCAACAACUUUUUUGAGUGUUGUAGCAGAUAUGCAACUAUAAAGGCUUCUUUAGAAGUAUAACAGUUUGACUGUGGUUUCAGUCAUUAAGGGGGCCAAAUGCUUAGUGUUAUAUAGAUUGCACUUAUAAGACAAAUACUAUGCAUUGAUUCAUUCAUAUCUUGUUGGAUUUUCAUGUGUUUGUUAAUUUCAUGACAAUCUUGGGGAUAGUGUUUAAUUUGUAAAAUGUGAUUCCCUCUAAUUCUUCAUGGAUAUUAGCUCAUGACAGAAGUUUGUUUAUCAUGGAUUUUAAUGUUUUGAUCUCAUGGCCAUUAAGAGCAACUUUUUUUUAAUAUUCGGUUUCGAGUAUGUUGUAUACAAGUGUUGACUCUAGUGGGAAAAUGUAAGACUAUAUUAGAGUUCCACACUUGUAUGUAACGUCUCCUGUAGAUUAAGGAUUUCAUAGACUGAUUUCAAUAAUACUUGUACGCUAAUAAAGAGAGUGUAUUAUUAGGAUUUUAUAGGUAAAGCAAUCCUGAUACGAAUAGUAAACUUAAUCAAAUAUGAAUACUGAAGUUUAGGUGAUAAAGUCUCGUUCGAGUAGAAUUACAUGAUGGGAAGUUCCCUACUCGAAUUCCACCUCUUUUACUAUAUAACAACGGUCUUUGCUCUCACACUCGAUACACAGAAAUAACCCCUUCUAGGCUUAUUGAAUAGAGCUGUGAAAAGGUGAGUGAAAGAGAGUAGAAGAUCAUUUGUUUUUGCUAUGGAGUUGUCACGAAAUAAGGAGAGAUGCAGACACUCAGAAUAUUGCUCAACAGAGGUUCUAAUUCAGAUAAAUGUUUUUAGUUGAUUAUGAUUUUCCUUCUUACAAGAGUUAGUCCUUAUAUUAAAAUAACAUAAGACUUUAGGGGUAUGAUUUGGAAAAGACCUAUUGGAAAUUGUAAUUUCGUAGGUAGACAAUUGGUUUUAUGAAGUAAUACUAAUAGUAAAAUGUAAGUAAACAAACAUAGAAAAAAAGUCGAAGGUUGAAUAUAGCCAAUUCAAUGCAAGAGAAAAUAAUGUUACGGCAAUCUUUGACCCCCUACAAAGAGAGAAUCUUCCGUAGAGUUGCCACACUAUGAUUGGUGGGUGAGACCAAAUGCGGAGAGUGUUUUGUGUGUACGGGCAUAUGGUAGAGCUGCCACGCUAUUGUUGGUGGGUACGUGUGGGACAAAUGCGGAGAGAGUACUUUGUGUGUGCGGGAUAGUCGCAUGGUCUGGAUGUCCAUAAUGAAGUUUUUCUCCUUACGAUGAAUGGAUAAUUGUCUAUUGUUUUGUUUAUUCAGUUACGUGAUACCUUCUGUUGUAGGGUACUGAAGUGAGGAAACUCACGUUGUUGUUCUCCUCACGGCCAUAUGUGAUGUUUGGGUACAAAUUGUUUGGGUUCUGCAUAAAAGCAUACUUAACAAAAUUAAAGCGCAAAUCUAGUUGGACCAUUUUAGUACCCUAACUCUAACUGAACCAACCACGCAUCUUAGACCUGGUUUGGGAGUGAGGUGCUUAAAAAAAAAGCACCCAUGAAAAAAAGCUGUAAGAGUUUUAGGUGUUUGGUAAACUGAAAAAAAAAAGGCUUAUUUUGGAAGCUGCUGUGAGAAUAAGCUGAAAUCAAAGGAAAAAACUGAAGCUGCUAUUUGCAGCUUUGGAAAACUGGUUUUUUUUCAAAGCACACGGAGCUACAGUGCUCCUUUAAUGAAAAGACCCACUAUUAGACUGCUUUUUUUUCCAAAAGCACUUUUACAAAAAAGUUUACCAAACACUCUGCUGCUUUAUUUCACAGCCGCUUAUUCUCACAGCAGUUUUUUUUCAAAGCACAGCAAUAUCAAACCAGCCCUUAGUUUGCUCCAUUCCUUCAAGUUCGAGAUUUGUGUUACCAACUAAUGCAUCACAAUCUUUCCAAAAAAUAAAAAAAAUAAAAAAAACUAAUGCAUCACAAUAUAUAAGACAUUUUAUUCAAAGAUGAGGACGGACUACAAAGAAAUUCUUUCUUGCAUCCAUCUGCAGGAAACUUUAUUCAAGGUUGUCGUAAAAAAUACAUAAUUAAAGUGACAUGAUAAGUUCUACAAGCUUAUUCAAGAAUUUGUAGGAAGAACCACCUUUCCUCAAAGAAACUUCUAUUUUCUCUUUCAAAUCCUUGGCCCUAACCCGCAUCACUUCCCCAUCAACAUCUACCAUCAGUUUCCGGACAGCUCUCUCAAUCUCUCCUCUCUCUACCUCAUUGUCUAAAUGUAGCCCUACUUUCCAUACUUGGCCAACGUACCUUGAAUGCACCUUCUGAUCGCCAAAAGACGGCAGGCAUAUCAUUGGAAUCCCUUCGGACAAACUUUCUAGCGUUGAGUUCCAACCGCAGUGGCUCCAAAACCCUAUGAUUGCGCGAUGGGACAAAACUUCCCUCUGGGGUACCCAUUUUACAAUGCGACCACGUUCUCCAAUCGCUUCUAUGAAACCUUGAGGCAAUAGCUCAAUCCAAUCUGAACCAUUCACUGAGCCAGGUCUGAUUACCCAUAAGAAAGGCUGCUUGCUGUUAGCCAAUCCCCAAGCCAUUUCGGCAAGCUCUUUCUCACUGAUGGAUGCUACACUUCCCAAGCUUACAUAGAUAACCGCAUUGUUAGAUUGCUUAUCGAGCCACCCAAUGCAGCUUGUGUCCUCUUCUAGUAAGCUACUAGAAGCUGCAGCUUCAAUCUUGUGAAGAGGACCUAUGGAGAAGAUUGGAACUGGGCAUUGUUGCUGGAUCUGUGCUAGUGAUGAUUGCUCAAGACAAUCAGUAGUGUUCCAAACGAUUGCUGAUGCUGUCUUAACAUUGUGUGCAUUAACGACUAGUUCCGAGUACUUUUCUAAUGAGUCAAAGUUGUUGGUGGGCAGAUCCUUCAACCUGAGGGGAUCAAAAUCGGGCAGCGGCCUCAGUGACUGAGAGUCUGCAAUCCAACAGUUUUGUUUUCUUAGUUAUAUGCAAGAAAAACGAACAUAGAGUCUGUACUCUGAUUAAGAAAUAUAUAUGACACAUACCUGGGAAUGGGAUGUGACCUUUUGAAUGAAGCUGUAGUAGAGCAGUACGAGCUUGAAAAUUGGUAACGCUGGUAGUUCGUAACAUGAUGUUUGGGAUGUUUAGAUCCUUAGCUACAGCUUCAGUGAAGUACAUAAAGUCAUCAUAGAUAACGCAGGUGAUUUUGUUCUCGGGUUCCUGUUCCAUAACUUGAGUCAAGCGUUGUCGGAAACUCGCUUUGCAGUUGGCAUUUAUAGCCAGCAGAAUGGCUAUUGCAUUCCCAGAUGAGAUCUCUUCAGCUGUCAAGCCAUCUUGUAUUGGAAAGAAGGUGAAAUCCGGGUGGUUUGAAGGGUUGGGGGAGUUGAACUGGGUGUGAAUAACAGUGAUGGAAAAGCCCUUUGAGUGAAGGAAGGAACCCAGCUGAAGCAUUGGAUUUAUGUGACCUUGGUAUGGACAUGGGAAUAAGACCAACCUGGUACUCUGUGUUUUCUUUUCCAUCUCCAUUCUUCCCU